CCCCUGGGCCGGGCUCGGGGCCUCCCGCCCGGGCGCGGAAAUAUGGAGCUGCGGGAGUUCGAGCGGGACAACGCGGGCAGCUGCCGCCUGGGCUCCCCCGUGCCCGAGCUGUGCAGGGCCGGGCCCUGCUGCCUGGGCAUCGAUGAGGCCGGCAGGGGCCCCGUGCUGGGUCCCAUGGUCUAUGCUGUUUGCUAUUGCCCAUUGGCCAAGCAGGAGGAGCUGGGAGCUCUGAAGAUGGCGGACUCGAAGACACUGACGGAGGCCGAGCGGGAGCAGCUGUUUGGGACGCUGGACCGGGCCAGGGACUUCGUCGGCUGGGCCCUGCACAUCCUCUCGCCCAACCUCAUCAGCACCAGCAUGCAGCAGCGGGCGAAAUACAACCUCAACGCCCUGUCCCACGACACGGCCAUCGGGCUGAUACAGCACGUGCUGGAUGCGGGAGUGCAGGUGGCAGAGGUCUUCGUGGACACGGUGGGGCCGGCGGAGAAGUACCAGGAGAAGCUGAAGCGGCACUUCCCGGAGCUCGAGGUGACCGUGAGGCCGAAGGCCGAUUCCCUCUUCCCCAUCGUCAGCGCGGCCAGCAUCUGUGCCAAGGUGGCGCGGGAUCGUGCUGUGAAGAACUGGACAUUCCCGGAGGAUCUGGGGGACGUGAGGAUGGAGUAUGGGUCUGGGUACCCCAAUGAUCCCAAGACCAAGGAGUGGCUGGCGCAGUGCCUGGACCCCGUGUUCGGGUACCCGCAGUUCGUGCGUUUCAGCUGGAGCACGGCCCAGACCAUCCUGGAGAGCAAGGCCGUGCCCGUGCGCUGGGAUGACAGUGAGGACGACCCCGCUCAGAAGGGCACCCGCUCCGUCCUGUCCUUCUUUGCCCUCAAAGAGUCUUCCAAACGCCAGCCCCACCGCUUCUUCCACGAGCGCAAGCUGGAGCCAGUGACUGGGCUGUAGCGGGCACCGGGGGGUGGAGGGCUGGCCCCAUGCCCGCGCCCCCCAGCUGGCCCCAUGCCCGCGCCCCCCAGCUGGCCCCAUGGCCCCAAGUCAGCGAGAACUUUUGAUGCGCAGCGUCUGGGAUUGUAUUUAAUUGUGAUGCCAACAGAUCUGAGCCACCCUCUCCAGGGGCUGGAAGGAGCCAGCUGGAAAGGGGGCUUGUAGGAACCAGCUGCCCCAGUCUCGCUGGCGCCUCCUUGCUGUGGAUUUCCCCCCCCCAUUUUCCCCACUUUGUUUUAGUUAAUAAAAC
Mauremys mutica (yellowpond turtle) is the source of this 1231-nucleotide RNA transcript. It is a transcript of the gene named ribonuclease H2 subunit A, with no coding region annotated. The record is from RefSeq and is a predicted model, not a curated record. The transcript is spliced from 9 exons. Lineage: Eukaryota; Metazoa; Chordata; Testudines; Geoemydidae.